CCGAGACGAGCCCCAAAGGCGGAUACGGUAAGCCCUACGCAGACAAACAACAAUCGCGAUCGUGAUAAACGCAUGUGUGGAACCACCAUCACACCAUACCAGACGACUAUUUUUUUUCUUUUUUUCGGUUCAUGUGUAUUGGUGGUGUGCCCUAAAACCGAAACACUACCCCUUGUCAACAACAUACGAAGGUGGUUGAAAAUGGUCCAAAAAAUUUAACGGUACAAAGAACGCGACACGGGUGUGCACGAUAAGAUAACACAGACACGUUACGUUCCCCCACGGAUCUCGUCUGAUGGUGGGCUGGAACGUUCUUCGUUGCGUUUUAAAAUCAAACGUACUGCGAAAAUGACUGACACGUGUUGUGCUACAUGGUGGGAGGGUAUGUGUGUGUGUUUCUUGCAUUUGAUGACGACAACUGACUGUAGUCAACGGCCCCAACCUUGAGCAAUGAGGAACUGUGCCCGGAAUGAAGAUCAACCCGAUGUGUAAUGCGUAUAUGUUUGACCCCGUUGCGCACGCCGAACGCGCUAUCAGAGUAGGCCAGGGCUUCUUUUCUGAACGGUUGUCAUGCCAGCGAAAGGUCGGUCGAUGCACACGACACCAGACGACAGGCGCACAAAAUUCGGUUUUCUCUCUAUUUUCUUUUCCCUCUGUAUGAUUACGUUGAAGUUGAAAACAACAUUAUUUUAUUUCGGCAGUACUUCAUAUUACAAAACUUAAAUCAGAUAUUAAAAUGAUACUUUCUCAGGUAAGCUAGUUUAGAAAACAAAAACUAAACAUUUCUCUCAAUUAAUAGGACCACCAAUAUGGCCAACGUUUGUGAUUGCUUUCAUACUCUUUGCAAAUUGAUACUCUUCUGUCAUUUUUUAAACGUGGUUAGCCUCCUCCUGCUCCAUCUCCAGACGCUCCUCAUAAUUAUUUGCUCUCACACAACGGUCGGAAUCGGAUGACCGUGCAAAAAUCUCAGUCCAGAGGUCCAGGAACGUCGUCAUUUCGUCAAUCAUACUCGCAGCAAUGAACUUAACGCUACUAUCGCGCGCCCCGCUAUCACCCGCAGUUUUGCAGUAGUCGAAAGCGAAUUUCACAACAGAUGGGGGACAGAGCGACCCGCGGCAACCCACGGACCCCCUUCCUAUCAACCCCCAGCCGGCUUGGGGGAGAAUAAGAGGAGAGCGCGAGUGUGUUUGUGGCUCACUUCUCUAUGCUCGUGCUCUGAAAUCUCGGUGCCUUCGUGAAUGUUAGUGCACGGUUGAUUGAAUUAAAUAACAUUUCAUUUCGCUUUCAAACAAACGGGCAACUGCCCUUCGCCCCCUUAGCCGGUGCGCUUCGAUGUUGGCAACACGCACACACACAGCCGCAACACGCACCCUCCCCUUUUGAUGCUUUUUCUAUGCUCUGUUACUAAUCGCAUCCAGCAUUCAAUUUGGAUUGGCGGUCUUUGUGUGUGUAUUGCUUUUUUGUCGAUGAUCGCGCUUUAACCUUGAUACUAGCCGCGAACCGUUCCGGAAGCCGCCGCCACCACGAAAUCGCUUAUGUUACCAAUUACAAAAUAAAACAGUGCUCGUGUUACAGCAGAUUGCUGAUUUUGCUGUACUCUGGUGUGUGGUGGUGGCCGCACUACACACACAGUAACGGAGCGACUCCCCCUUCGCUUUCCCGUUUGGAGGCUUGGCUGCGGUCAAAAAGGACGUCACGGAACCGGUUUUCGCACGAAUAGAUAUGCUGGUAAGCAGCCCUUGCGAUUGGCGGCGCGUGUAGAUGGAUGUGUGUUUGUUUUUCUCAGCUUUGGUAGACACACACAUACACACAGAAACAGUGUAUUUGGAGAACGGGUUUGCAUUUGAAUGUUAAAAAACUAACAUAUUUUGGCUGUAUUGUCAGGUCAUUAGUAUCUGAGUAUAGUCGUGUAAACAUUUACGCGUGCGGUUUGCAUUCAAGGGGUGGAUCAUGGAAUGAUCGUAACGUUCUCACAACACAGCGACAUCGGAAUGGUGUACAAAUCCUUUGCUUAUUUAACAAAUGUACAAAAGUUUAUAUUAAACAUAAUAUCCCUAGCUAUUGUUUCUGUACUUUUUCUUCGUUGAAUAAGCAGUUUAAAUGAAUUCACGUGGUUGUCUCUAGUUCUCCCUUAAUUUUUUAAAAAGGUGAGCUAAAUGUUCAAGCAAAAACUAAACUGGACGGGAGCUUUGAUAGGUAUGAAAAUUAUACCGAUGUAAAGGGAUGAAAUAAAACGUACAAAAAAAAAAAAAAGAA
Long non-coding RNA from Anopheles arabiensis, 2256 nucleotides. RefSeq lists it as uncharacterized. The record is from RefSeq and is a predicted model, not a curated record. NCBI's taxonomy places the organism in Eukaryota, Metazoa, Arthropoda, Insecta, Diptera, Culicidae. The transcript is spliced from 2 exons.